RNAcentral lists this ribosomal RNA (224 nucleotides) under uncultured bacterium. Its description in RNAcentral is "partial 16S ribosomal RNA". It matches the Rfam family "Bacterial small subunit ribosomal RNA", at positions 28 to 252 of the family's 1533-position model. The record is from RNAcentral.
GACGAACGCUGGCGGCGUGCUUAACACAUGCAAGUCGAGCGGUAAGGCCCUUUCGGGGGUACGACGAGCGGCGAACGGGUGAGUAACACGUGGGUGACCUGCCCUCAGCUCUGGGAUAAGCCCGGGAAACUGGGUCUAAUACCGGAUAUGACUUCAUGACGCAUGUUGUGGAGUGGAAAGCCUUGUGCGGCUGAGGAUGGGCCCGCGGCCUAUCAGCUUGUUGG